GAUGAACGCUGGCGGCGUGCCUAAUACAUGCAAGUCGAGCGAACAGACGAGGAGAUUGCUCCUCUGACGUUAGCGGGGGACGGGCGAGUAACACGUGCAUAACCUACCUAUAAGACUGGGAUGACUUCGGGAAACCGGAGCUAAUACUGGAUAAUAUAUUGAACCGCAUGGUUCAAUAGUGAAAGACGGUUUUGCUGUCACUUAUAGAUGGAUCCGCGUCGCAUUAGCUAGUUGGUAAGGUAACGGCUUACCAAGGCAACGAUGCGUAGCCGACCUGAGAGGGUGAUCAGCCACACUGGAACUGAGACACGGUCCAGACUCCUACGGGAGGCAGCAGUGGGGAAUCUUGCGCAAUGGGCGAAAGCCUGACGCAGCAACGCCGCGUGGGUGAUGAAGGUCUUCGGAUCGUAAAACUCUGUUAUUAGGGAAGAACAAAUGUGUAAGAAUCUAUGCACGUCUUGACGGUACCUAAUGAGAAAGCCACGGCUAACUACGUG
This 497-nucleotide ribosomal RNA is filed under the name uncultured bacterium. RNAcentral describes it as "partial 16S ribosomal RNA". It matches the Rfam family "Bacterial small subunit ribosomal RNA", at positions 28 to 507 of the family's 1533-position model. The record is from RNAcentral.